This 271-nucleotide long non-coding RNA is filed under the name Sorghum bicolor (sorghum). Its description in RNAcentral is "long non-coding RNA (SBIC_LNC018801)". Lineage: Eukaryota; Viridiplantae; Streptophyta; Magnoliopsida; Poales; Poaceae. The record is from RNAcentral.
UGGUGAUGACAAUGUUUUCACCCCUGACAUCCUUUAGUCAUCUCUGAGGGGCGGUGCAGUGCGUGUGGUGGUUUGGAGUUGGUGAUGGUUCUCUUUUUUCUUCUUUUUGAGUUGAACUUUGGCUUUUUGCAGGUUGUGUCGUUGUCCUAAUUCGACUAGCUUGUUUUUCUUUUCCUCUUUGUUGAGCUGGUUUUCCAACAUGGUUGUUGGUCGUUGUGCCCACUCUAGAUUUAUCUUUGUUUAAUAGACUAGGUAGCGUGCCCGUGCGUUG